This 277-nucleotide ribosomal RNA is filed under the name Dolosigranulum pigrum. Its description in RNAcentral is "partial 23S ribosomal RNA". It matches the Rfam family "Bacterial large subunit ribosomal RNA", at positions 171 to 452 of the family's 2925-position model. The record is from RNAcentral. Lineage: Bacteria; Bacillati; Bacillota; Bacilli; Lactobacillales; Carnobacteriaceae.
AGUGUAAGGGACACGCGGUGAACUGAAACAUCUCAGUAGCUGCAGGAAGAGAAAACAAAUGUGAUUCCCAUAGUAGCGGCGAGCGAAAUGGGAAGAGGCCAAACGAUCAUGCUUGCAUGAUCGGGUUGUAGGACUCAAAAAUGGACGAUUGUUGUUAGUUGAACACGUUGGAGAGCGUGGCCAAAGAAGGUGACAGCCCUGUAGGCGAAAACAACAUGAACCAAUGAGGAUCCUGAGUACGGCGGAACACGAGAAAUUCCGUCGGAAUCAGCCGGGA